AGGAUAAUAGUUAAAAAUAACAAUUGAUUUGCAUUCAAUAAUUAUUAAUUAUGAAUAAUUAAUUUAUCUUA
RNAcentral lists this transfer RNA (71 nucleotides) under Taxoblenus sp. RNAcentral describes it as "tRNA-Ala". The record is from RNAcentral. Lineage: Eukaryota; Metazoa; Arthropoda; Insecta; Hymenoptera; Tenthredinidae.